This 500-nucleotide ribosomal RNA is filed under the name uncultured Myrionecta. RNAcentral's name for it is "SSU rRNA". It matches the Rfam family "Eukaryotic small subunit ribosomal RNA", at positions 34 to 598 of the family's 1831-position model. Lineage: Eukaryota; Ciliophora; Litostomatea; Cyclotrichida; Mesodiniidae. The record is from RNAcentral.
GUUGUUAAGACUAGCCAUGCACGUCUAAGUACAAACUAAAUGAUGGUGAAACUGCAAAUGGCUCAUUACAACGGUUAUGAUGUACCCGGGAGUUCCGAUGGAUAUUUCCAGUAACACUAGAACUAAUACAUGUCCCUGCGUUUAUUAGUUUCGCACAGUCCGUCGCUGAGUCAUGGUAAACAGUUGAUCGACUCGACGUCCCGGAACAGUUUCCGCCCCAUCAGCUUCGAUGGUUGGGUAUUGGCCUACCAUUGCAACAACGGGUAACGAGAAAUUAGGGUUUGAUUUCGGAGAGGGAGCCUGAGAAACGGCUACCACAUCUACGGAUGGCAGCAGGCGCGCAAAUUACCCAAUGCAGACACUGUGAGGUAGUGACGAGAAAUAAUAAAGCGGGACUUCUGUUUCGCUAUUAUAAUGAGGAAUAACCAAAGGUCAUUCCGAUUAGCAACUGAUGGGAAAGUCUGGUGCCAGCAGCCGCGGUAAUACCAGCGUCAGUAGCA